Vicia villosa (hairy vetch) is the source of this 720-nucleotide long non-coding RNA. RefSeq lists it as uncharacterized. The record is from RefSeq and is a predicted model, not a curated record. The transcript is spliced from 3 exons. Lineage: Eukaryota; Viridiplantae; Streptophyta; Magnoliopsida; Fabales; Fabaceae.
UUGCUGGUACGCUCGUGUGUUCGAUUAGAAUAUUUGGGUUUUCAUUAUUUAAGGAGUUUCCACUUAAUUAUUCUAGGAUCUCUAACUUUGUCUUGUAUUUUCUUAUUUGUUCCUAGCUUGUUUCUUGUUACUACUCAUUCAAAUAAAGGCAACUGAAUGCAUUAUAUAACAAGUAUUAUUUUAAGGUUGUAAGCUAAUUGUGUAUAUUUGCUUAUUCGGGAUGGAUAGGAUCUACGAUUUAUAAGUUUGUCGACGACUGGAUGCUUUUGUUUAAAUGCUUUAGUAUUAUCGAUCUUAUGUAGUAGAUAUGGUUUGCAAGGCUGUUGGUUUUCCCUUGUUGGAUUUCAAUGGGCUCGGUUUUUUGUGGCCCUUCUGCGCCUUCUAUCUCCCAACGGCAUUUUAUACUCAGAAGAAACAAGCCAAUAUGGCAAUAUGAGCUGCAAAAGUUGAAGACUGCAUAGUUUUGGAGCUACAUUUUAAUUUUAGUUCAUGAUAGAUUAUACAAGUAUAAGCAUGUUGUCUGUUACAAUUCAGUGGAGGGAAACUACUGGUGCUGAGAUGUAUCAGAAACCAAGCAGGGAAAUGGGGACGUGAUGUGGGGAAAUUAAACCCACCGCCCGUAACAUAUAUCCUUGGUGAUCAAAAGGAGGUGCCACGAGGUAAAGGUAAUCGGCAAACCUUUCUAUUUUUAUGGUGGCUUUCAACAUGAAUCUGGCUUGA